CCCAAAAACAAUACGCGCAAGUACCUGUGUUAAAACGCUCCAGGCUAUACAAUACAGGGGACGCUAUAUAAGUGCCAAAGUACUGUGACAUACAUGGAUCACUCGACUGCUUGACCAGACGUGGAGAGUGGUAAAGUCUGGCACUUGGAUUUUCAUCCACACCAGCAAAAUUUUAAUAAGUCUGAUAGUGCCUUCUGCAGAAGCAGCAUGCAGCACGGGAACUUGAUAGUGACCAGCUUCCAAGCUGUAGAAUGUGAAAUCCCAACAGAUACCGGUAGUAAUUUCUCCUAGGGAGGCGGAAUACGGUCCCUGCGAAAACCAUAAUUCCGGGUUAACACGAAACCCGGAUCCAGGCCCACAGGCCCUCUAACAAAACUUUCACAAGAAAUCCCAAGAGCUCUCGAAAUCAUAAAAAACCCCAGGGUCCAACACCUAACAACCACGGUCCAUGUGUUCCACGGUCAAUCAGGGCAACAAGAGCCCACGAAUCUCCAAGUAUUAAAGAUGACUACAUCUUCGGUCCAAUCUAAGACCUCACAACUUAUUCAUUUCGACUAAGACCCUCAAGCCUGAAAGCUGAAAGGAAGGUUCCCUGAGUCUCAAUAAAGACUAAGUCCUCGAGACCACCUUUUCUUCACCACAAGUUUGAUUUAAAGAAAAACCCAAAGUUGUCUUUAUUAGCCACAGCAGGGCAACCACGCGAAAAACAAGGAGUAGCAACCAAAGAAAGAGAAGCAUCGUUCAAAGCAAAAGAGACUUAAAAAGAAAUCAGGCCCUCAAGGCUUCACUGACAAAUCCACAUCCAUCUCUGAAGCCGGCGGGAUAGCAGGUUCAUCUUCAAAAGAAGGAGGCGGAUCUCCCUUGUUUUUAGCCUCUUCCAGGACCACCAUUUUAUUCUGAUCCAGCGCCCUGCUCAGAUCCCAUUGGCCGCUCUGCUCGUUUAGCCAUUCCCUCAUCAGUUCCCACCGAGCAACAAUCCUUGCUCCAUUCACGGCCAUCACCAUCUCUAGCUUGAGAGUCUCCACUUCCUCCAACUCCUGGCUCUUCUGGCUCGCUGCUAGCGCACCAGCGGAAUAUGUCUCAGCCACCUUCUCCAGUUCCCUCACCUUAUCCUUAAAGUCACAAAUCUCCAGCUCCGGGGCCGUACGCUGCUCUCUCUCUUCAGACACUUGGCGCUUCAAACUCUCGAGCUCUUCACAAUCGAUCACCAGGUUCUCGUUGGAUAGUCGCUCUUUCAGGUGAUAGAGUUGAGAAGUAACCUGGUCAAACGAAUGUCAGAACUACUAAAGAAAAAAAGAAAGGAGCAGAAUACAAAGAUUUACCUGGAGAAGUCCACCUUGGAGAACCUGGACAACUUCCGAAGGAUCCCCGGCCGGAAGAACAACGCCAUCUUGGGGAAAGACCUUGAAAUUCAGGUUAGCUAAGGCCACAGAUAAACCCCCAGCAUAACGGGCAGCACCAGCUGAUUGAUGCGCAGACCUAGUUGUAACUCCCCCACCUUUAGACUUCUUUCCCUGAGACGAGGAAGUUGGCUCUAACUUCACCAUUGUCGCACGGCGACUACCUGUGAUUAUCACCUCAUCUCCAGACGCGGUCCUACUGGUGGAAUCCUUUUUGGCGGACAUGAUCUUCGCCGCCUCCUGAUAUGCCACGAAAGGAUCGUUGAUAGCGCUCCCAGACAUGUUCCCUGUAAGAAAACUACCGUCAGACACACACUUACUCCAAAGACUACUACGCAACAAUACUGUUUCGCUAACUAGGGAGUUCACUUGACGACGAUCUAAAGGAAGCUGUCGCGCCCGAAGAACAGUACUUUCACCUUCCGCAGGAGCAGGAUGAGUUCCAGCUGCAGAAAGAAUAUAAUGAUAAAAAAAAACGGUUAAGCACUAAAGAACAAUCGGCUCCCCAUGCCUACCUAUGAUGUUCCAUCGAUGAAAGCAUAUCUCUCCGCCCAUUUUUUAUUAAAAACCGGCCAUUUCUAGUCAUUCUUCGGGAGCUCUUCCACAAUCGGCAGGCCUUUACAAGGACGCAGGUGGAAUCGUCCCUCCCCUCCAUUAAGAGGAGCCAGAUGGUAAGCAAACAAAACUUCGUUGAGGCCAAAAGAGAGAUAUUCCAAGUCACCCAGAUUCUGGAUGGCUAUAAGGAUCCUCCAGGCAGGAGGGUUCAGCUGGGAAGGAUAGAUCUCGAAGAGUCCGCAAAAAUUAACAAUGAGUGCUGGGACUACCCCUCUGAAGCCGGAGUCAAAAGGCCUCAUAAACAGUAAUCUCCCCCGGGGUGCAGCUGGAAGCCCUUUCCUCGGAAGCAGGCGCUCGGAGGAAGAUAUGGGAAGGAAGAGAAUACCUCCUCCGCCAUUCCGUCAAGUCAUCGUCAACGACCGUUGAAGCGGGGCCUAUCAAUGUGGGAGCCGCCGGAGCAUAAGUCAGUGGCAGGGGAGCCAUCAGAUUGUAAUCAGAUUCCUCACAUGGGUCGGAAGAACUGUCGAAGUGAGACGCAGAGGAAUCUACCUUCCUCUUCAAUCUGGCUUUAUCAACAACAGAAGGGUCGGAAAGAGCAGAGCGCUUGGACAUAAUUCAAAUUGUUCCUAUUCAACAAGCCGCGAGGAUUGUAAGGAAGUCAAUCUCUAACCCUAACUGACUAAGACGACUCGAUCUACCUAGAGAAAUUCUCAGUAGCAAAGAGAUAGAGGGAUAAAAGGUAAUACCUGAAGUAAAGAUAUCGUCGGCUUGGAUGUAAAGAAGAUGGGGAAAAGCCGAAGCAUAUAAAGGCCAAGAUCGCGUGCUCCGGAAACCUCGGAUCUCGAGAUGAUUUCAAAAUUCAAAUAGCCCUCCUCCGGCGCGUGAGAUAUCAACGGAUCUCCUAUAUUUAUGAAGAAAUCUUUCAGAAAGGGAAAAAAUCUACAUUUCUCCCUGGCAAAUAUUCGGAGCAUCUCUUGCAAGAAACCUCAUAUCAAACCGGUGAAUUCGAGAGCCCUCAGAAGAAAUCAUCAAAUCUCUAGACUCCUCCUUCAAGAACCCAAGGAAACAUUGCCAAAACUGAGUUCUCUGCAGAAAAGCCGUCUCUCGCUUGGGUCCAGAGUAGGACUAUAGCCUAUAAAGAACCCGAGACAUGAGUUCCUAGAACGCUGUCCUGCCCGAGGGAUGCCUGGUGAGAAUGAGCAACCCCGGUUGACUUGAGUGCACAGGUUAUUCCCCGAAAUCGAGAAAUAAGGGGCAAACUGUUGGGGGAAAAAUACUCAGGUACUACUUUCCUCCAGACCCCAGGCAGGAUCCAGACCUCCGGGUCCCCGUUUUAGGAACGCUCAGGAUCCCCAAUAUCGGGUACCCCAGUAUCGGUUCCAGGAACCGCCUCCAGCUCCAAGAAAAGGCAAAUUGUUGAUAAGGAGAACCUUCCAUAUUUCCGAGUAUGGAAGACUUCCAUCUACUCCAACCGACCUAUAGACGACUAUAUAAGGGGAACCCAAACCCUAGAACAAGGGAUCGACUCUUUAGGACUUGAAGGCUAGAAUUAGACUGCUAGACUAGGGUUUCUUGCUUAAUACUUUGUAAUCUCUUCUAGUUCGAUCUAAUAAACGCUUAUUCAAGUCAUAAUCUCUUUUACUACUCCAAAAUCUAUACUAAAUAUCAGCUCAUCCAUCGUUCUGUGGUACUCUAAAACAUCCUACACAAAAAUCUCCUAACAAUUAUAAUUCAUGAAACCGGCUACAAAGCGCAAACACAAAAACUUAAAACCGUAAGAGUACAGUAUGACGUGUCAAGCUAAGAAUCAUUAGGUGAAUGAUGAGGUGGCAGCCUGGUGAAGAGAACAUUCUCCUUUAUAUAUAUAGAUUAUUACUGAAAGCAUUUGAUUACAUAGCCUUGGUUCAUCCUUCUAGCUUUCACAAAACGUUUCCACGGUUCAAGCCGUUUGGCUUUUUGAAGUUCCUUUUCAAUUUUUUUCCACCAUAGCCACCAGCCCUGCAGACGUGAAGCAUGAGAAGUAAUUAUUUACAGAUCAAGCACAACAAAAUCUCCUUUUAGGAUCAACAAACUUUUGAUGCAUUAGCAAAAUCUCUUCUGUGACCUGCAUUAUACCGUCCAACUCUUUUCUCAUUUAUUUCAGCUUAUACGGCUUAUAAAACAUGAGAAGAGAUUACAGGUUAACCAUAAUAGCUAUAUGUUGUAAAAGCAUACAAACUCAGAUGUACAACAUCAUUCUCGCUUACCUUUUUGAAAGACUUAGCUUUAGCCAACGGCUGUAACACGAGAAGGAAAAAUCAGAUGGAGAGACAGACAAAAGAAACAACCGUUGUCCAUAAAAAGUAGAAAAAGCAAAACCCUCAAGACCAAAUAGGUUUCAAGUCCACACAUAUAUCACAACAGAUCAGAUCUCCCAUUUCUUGAGCUCCAUACCAUCAGGAGGAGUGCUCUCGAUUUUCUUAGUUCCAACUUCUUUCUCGUCUGUUGAGAAUACUGUCCCAUUAGAUUCCACCUAUUCGUUGUACAAAAAAAAAAUCGCAAGAGAGUUAAUAAAAAAUGACACAAAAUUUGUAGUCUCCAUGAGAGAAGAAAGACUACAGAAAAGAUAUUCACAAAAUUUUUGCUCAUUGCACGCCUCAUAUCCUCAUCAGCAUUUUAAUAUAUUUCACGGAAGAACUUGUUCAAAGCCGCGUCUCCUUCGAGCUUCUCAUCCUUUUCAUGUUUCUUCACUUCAGCUUCAAGCUUGUCCCAGUCCUUAACACGCUUGGAAGAAGGAUAAGCCAGUCUCAUAGAAACCUCUGCACCAAAGUUCCAAAUGUGAAGAGAGUGUGUCAUUUUAGUAUUGUAAGAUACCAAUAAAGUAGACUUUUUCUCUCCUAGGGGAAAUGACACGUGUCGUCUUUUCAUUGGAUAUAAUUUACGAUUGGGCUUUGUUUACUAAAUUGGAUUAUGUGUUUUCGUUUGAGGACUGGAAUCGCCUCUUCCUCUAGGUCGUUUCUUUUUCUUACGGCCGCCGCAUUUUGCAGAUGAAAGUCGAUGAUAACACCAUGGACGUUACAACGUUUCGCUUUGCUCUUCUUUACUUCGUGUUAAACCGUGAUUUCCCCACUUCUCAGCAUUCAAUCCGUCUCCUUCUCUUCCCUGAGUUACUCAGUAGAGCUUCGGGUAUAAAUACCUCUUCAUCCAGACAUGAGCAUCACAGCUUCGACGAGAACCAGAAGAUCACUCUGUUCAAUUUCUGGUUAUUACAAUGGCGAAUCCCCAAGUCCUUCUUGCCGAUUUGAACGCAGGACGGUGCUCCAACGUUGCGGAGGUUCGGUUACUCCGAUACUGGGAGGCAAGACAUGUUAGGAAAGGUGGUGAACUGAUGAGUGUUGACAUGCUCUUUGUCAAUGAGAAUGUAAGCCUCUUUUCAUAAAUCUGAUUUACAGUUUACUCCAUUAAUAUUCUGGAAAGUUUUACGCUUUUAGGGAUUGUUCAUAUUCUGUAAAGUUUAGUUCUUUUAGCGAUUGUUCCAUAAUCAUUUUCUUAACGUUUUAAUUUCUCUUUACUGACAAUCAACGCUUACGCAAGGAUCUGUUAGUUCAAACCGUCAGCUUAGGUUCAGGAAACGUCUCAGCUAGGGCUCUCUCUACACGUUAACCGGAUUUGACGUCACACGCAGCAACACCAAUUUUCAUUUGUGUUAUGCUCCUUUCUCAAUUCGGUUCAAUGAAGGAACCUCUCUUGAGAAGAUAACGGCGUCUGCUAGGCCCAUACCUACGGAGCUUUUAAGAUUCAUGCCAUAUGGUCAGAUACUUGAGCUCGCAAACACUGGCAAACAACUUCCUGAAGCACAAUUACGGACCGUAUACCAGGGGCACAGCGUGUGAUGCUAACUCUGCGUCUUGAAAGGUUCUUUCUCUUUUACAUAAUGGUUGUUUUAAGGGAUGUUUUUACCGCAUAUCUUCAAUUGACUUUACAUUUUUCUUUCUCUGCAAUGGUGAGAACGUUUGUGUGAGUAUGUUUGACUCCUUGGCUCUUGCGUUUCAUACCAAAUUUGACAGCUAUGGGAGAGAGCCCAAAAUCAUAAUUGCUACAAGCGUGAAUCCUAAGAUAGUUGGGGCCGUUUAUUUUUGAAUGCUACUUCCGGCACACAUCUCUACUUUGACUCUGAGACAGCUGCUGGGAAAAAAGUGUUUGACACCUUGCCAGGUCAGCAGACCUAGGAGCAUUUACUUCGAAGGUAGUUCGUGCACAGAAGAUUGAACCAAUGACCACCUCUGAGCUUAACCAGUUUAUUAUUACUGCUGAUUCUCAGAUAAUAGAGUUUCUUUGCACCGCUAAGUUUACUGGUAUCCAGCAAGAUGACGGUUGGUGUUAUAUUGGCUGCUCCGGGUGUUCCAAGAAACUUGUCUGAGAGAUAUCUUCCUUCGCAUGUGUUUCAUGUAAUGAAACUAAUGCUGUUGCUGCACUCAGGUACCGAAUCACAUUGUCUGUGUCCGACUACACUGAUACCGCAUCUUUCCUAGCUUUUGAUAUGGAGAUGGCUAAACUGACCAACGUUCAAGCUUCUGAGGCUGCUCAGAUUGUGGGGAUAGGUGUUGAUGCUCAGGUUGACACGGAACUUCCUCGGUCCCUUGCUGAUAUUGUUGGAAAACCCUACACUUUCCAGCUCAAACUGAACAUUUCAAUUUCUCCUCAAAGCACCAGACCUUCACCAUUUCUCGCAUCUUUCCUGAGCGAGUGCUUGUGCCCAUGCCAGCCUUUGUGGUAACUGAAGUUGCAAAUGUUCCUGCGGAUGCUCAGGCCGAAGAUGUGGCACAAGGAACAAAUGCCAACGUUGGAAUCACUUCCACUGGAGCAGAUAAGCCAACUAUAUCUGAUGCUUCAACUGGUAAACGUCCACCACCGGCCAAAGACCAAGACGAUGUCGACAAGACUGCCCCGAAGAAGGCACAUGUGGAAUGAGUCCAUCACUCCACAGCUAGAACAACCACAACUGCUUCUGUUUCUAAUUAUGCUUUAGUGUUUCCAUUUUCCCGUUGGACUAUUUCUCUCUCUCUUUUUCUUAUAAAGCAAUGUGUUAUGCUUUAGUGUUUUCCAUAUGGUUUUGAACUAUUUAUCUUUGGCUUUUAAAAAUAUGUGGUUGUUCUUUUUAUUAUAUAAUCUUCUUUUUCUUAUAAAGCAAUGUGUUAUGCUUUAGUGUUUUCCAUAUGGUUUUGAACUAUUUAUCUUUGGCUUUUAAAAAAAAUGUGGUUGUUCUUUUUAUUA
Brassica napus (rape) is the source of this 7208-nucleotide long non-coding RNA. RefSeq lists it as uncharacterized. The transcript is spliced from 8 exons. Lineage: Eukaryota; Viridiplantae; Streptophyta; Magnoliopsida; Brassicales; Brassicaceae. The record is from RefSeq and is a predicted model, not a curated record.